GCGAGUAGUCUUGACGGUAGCAGCAGCUUUCCCACUCGUCUUUUCCUUGUCCUGACCAGGCAUCCAGCUCUUUGUCCUCUGUACCUGUGUCGCCUCCUCUUGCAAAUAACGGGGAUGAUGGCCCUGUCGGGUGUUUGGAGAAUGUCUUGUGCUUCUUGCUCGUUGAAGAAAAAAUCUUUGUCUAAUCCGAGGUGAGUGAUCGCUGUCCUGAUAUCUAGAAGCUCUUUGUCUAAUCCGAGGUGAGUGAUCGAUGUCCUGAUAUCUAGAAGCUCUUUGUCUAAUCCGAGGUGAGUGAUCGCUGUCCUGACAUCCAGAAGCUCUUUGUCUAAUCCGAGGUGAGUGAUCGCUGUCCUGACAUCCAGAAGCUCUUUGUCUAAUCCGAGGUGAGUGAUCGCUGUCCUGACAUCCAGAAGCUCUUUGUCUAAUCCGAGGUGAGUGAUCGCUGUCCUGACAUCCAGAAGCUCUUUGUCUAAUCCGAGGUGAGUGAUCGCUGUCCUGAUAUCUAGAAGCUCUGUGUCUAAUCUGAGGUGAGUGAUCGC
Molecule: long non-coding RNA, 539 nt
Organism: Oncorhynchus tshawytscha (Chinook salmon)
Lineage: Eukaryota; Metazoa; Chordata; Actinopteri; Salmoniformes; Salmonidae
Source: Ensembl